Molecule: transfer RNA, 101 nt
Filed under: Annulohypoxylon bovei var. microspora
Lineage: Eukaryota; Fungi; Ascomycota; Sordariomycetes; Xylariales; Hypoxylaceae
Description: tRNA-Asn
Rfam family: tRNA
About the family: Transfer RNA (tRNA) molecules are approximately 80 nucleotides in length. Their secondary structure includes four short double-helical elements and three loops (D, anti-codon, and T loops). Further hydrogen bonds mediate the characteristic L-shaped molecular structure. tRNAs have two regions of fundamental functional importance: the anti-codon, which is responsible for specific mRNA codon recognition, and the 3' end, to which the tRNAs corresponding amino acid is attached (by aminoacyl-tRNA synthetases). tRNAs cope with the degeneracy of the genetic code in two manners: having more than one tRNA (with a specific anti-codon) for a particular amino acid; and 'wobble' base-pairing, i.e. permitting non-standard base-pairing at the 3rd anti-codon position.
Source: RNAcentral
UGCCCAUUGGCCCAGUGGUCAAGGCGUCUGACUGUUAUUCUCCUUUGCAAAGGGUUAACAGAAAAAUCAGAAGAUCCCUGGUUCGACCCCAGGAUGGGCAG